AUUGAACGCUGGCGGCAUGCCUUACACAUGCAAGUCGAACGGCAGCACGGGAGCAAUCCUGGUGGCGAGUGGCGAACGGGUGAGUAAUAUAUCGGAACGUGCCCAGUCGUGGGGGAUAACGUAGCGAAAGCUACGCUAAUACCGCAUACGAUCUACGGAUGAAAGCGGGGGAUCGCAAGACCUCGCGCGAUUGGAGCGGCCGAUAUCAGAUUAGCUAGUUGGUGGGGUAAAAGCUCACCAAGGCGACGAUCUGUAGCUGGUCUGAGAGGACGACCAGCCACACUGGAACUGAGACACGGUCCAGACUCCUACGGGAGGCAGCAGUGGGGAAUUUUGGACAAUGGGCGCAAGCCUGAUCCAGCAAUGCCGCGUGCAGGAUGAAGGCCUUCGGUUGUAACUAGCUUUGUACGGUAACGAAACGGUAGAGCUCUAAUAAAGACUUGCUAAUGACGGUACCGUAAGAAUAAGACACCGGCUAACUACGUGCC
RNAcentral lists this ribosomal RNA (488 nucleotides) under uncultured bacterium. RNAcentral's name for it is "bacterial SSU rRNA". It matches the Rfam family "Bacterial small subunit ribosomal RNA", at positions 30 to 509 of the family's 1533-position model. The record is from RNAcentral.